AAGUCGUAACAAGGUUUCCGUAGGUGAACCUGCGGAAGGAUCAUUAAAGAUUCGAGGGCUUCGGCCUUCACCUCUUCAGCUGUCGCUUCGGCUGCACGCCGUCGAACUACACACACCUGUGCACCUUAUCGGUUUCGGCCUCACGGUCGUCGCCGCUUUACAUCUUACAACUUCAGUUCAGAAUGUUUAAACUAUAAAAGUAACAA
RNAcentral lists this unclassified non-coding RNA (206 nucleotides) under plant metagenome. Its description in RNAcentral is "partial contains small subunit ribosomal RNA and internal transcribed spacer 1". The stretch from base 1 to 46 matches the Rfam family "Eukaryotic small subunit ribosomal RNA", at positions 1786 to 1831 of the family's 1831-position model. The record is from RNAcentral.